This 253-nucleotide ribosomal RNA is filed under the name uncultured bacterium. Its description in RNAcentral is "partial 16S ribosomal RNA". It matches the Rfam family "Bacterial small subunit ribosomal RNA", at positions 524 to 776 of the family's 1533-position model. The record is from RNAcentral.
UACAGAGGUCCCAAGCGUUGUUCGGAUUCACUGGGCGUAAAGGGUGCGUAGGCGGCGCGGUAAGUCGGGUGUGAAAUCUCGGAGCUUAACUCCGAAACUGCAUUCGAUACUGCCGUGCUUGAGGACUGGAGAGGAGACUGGAAUUCAUGGUGUAGCAGUGAAAUGCGUAGAGAUCAUGAGGAAGACCAGUGGCGAAGGCGGGUCUCUGGACAGUUCCUGACACUGAGGCACGAAGGCCAGGGGAGCAAACGGG